AAACGACUCUCGGCAACGGAUAUCUCGGCUCUCGCAUCGAUGAAGAACGUAGCGAAAUGCGAUACCUGGUGUGAAUUGCAGAAUCCCGUGAACCAUCGAGUCUUUGAACGCAAGUUGCGCCCGACGCCUUCUGGCCGAGGGCACGUCUGCCUGGGUGUCACGC
RNAcentral lists this ribosomal RNA (163 nucleotides) under Asemeia securidaca. RNAcentral's name for it is "5.8S ribosomal RNA". It matches the Rfam family "5.8S ribosomal RNA". Rfam says of the family: 5.8S ribosomal RNA (5.8S rRNA) is a component of the large subunit of the eukaryotic ribosome. Lineage: Eukaryota; Viridiplantae; Streptophyta; Magnoliopsida; Fabales; Polygalaceae. RNAcentral also lists the same sequence under 1 other name. The record is from RNAcentral.